CUGCUCACUUCUGCAGCAUGCAUACUAAAAUUGGAACUAUACAGAGAAGAUUAGCAUGGCCUCUGCACAAGGAUGACAUGCAAAUUUGUGGAGCAUUCCAUUUUUUU
Molecule: small nuclear RNA, 107 nt
Organism: Jaculus jaculus (lesser Egyptian jerboa)
Lineage: Eukaryota; Metazoa; Chordata; Mammalia; Rodentia; Dipodidae
Source: RefSeq, a predicted model, not a curated record